This 253-nucleotide ribosomal RNA is filed under the name uncultured bacterium. Its description in RNAcentral is "partial 16S ribosomal RNA". It matches the Rfam family "Bacterial small subunit ribosomal RNA", at positions 524 to 776 of the family's 1533-position model. The record is from RNAcentral.
UACGUAGGGUGCGAGCGUUGUCCGGAAUUAUUGGGCGUAAAGGGCUCGUAGGCGGUUUGUCGCGUCGGGAGUGAAAUCCACUGGCUUAACUGGUGGCUUGCUUUCGAUACGGGCAGACUGGAGGUAUGCAGGGGAGAACGGAAUUCCUGGUGUAGUGGUGAAAUGCGUAGAGAUCAGGAGGAACACCGGUGUCUUAGGCGGCCUCCUGUGCCAGCACUGACGCUGAGGCUUGAAAGCUCGUUGAGCGAACGGG